GUAUAGUACCGUGAGGGAAAGGUGAAAAGAACCCCGGGAGGGGAGUGAAAUAGAACCUGAAACCCUGCACUUACAAGCUGUGGAAGCACAUUUCUUGUGUGACCGCGUACUUUUUGUAGAACGGGCCAACGAGUUACGUUAAGUAGCAAGGUUAAGCACUUAAGGUGUGGAGCCGUAGCGAAAGCGAGUUUUAACUGAGCGUUCAGUUACUUGACGUAGACCCGAAACCGGGCGACCUACCCAUGAGCAGGAUGAAGCGAAAGUAAAAUUUCGUGGAGGUCCGAACCCACGAGCGUUGAAAAGCUCGGGGAUGACUUGUGGGUAGCGGUGAAAUUCCAAUCGAGCCCGGAGAUAGCUGGUUCUCCCCGAAAUAGCUUUAGGGCUAGCCUCAAGGUGAGAGAUACGGAGGUAGAGCACUGAAUGUCCUAGGGGGUAUUGCACCUACCGAAGACUAUCAAACUCCGAAUGCCGUCAUCUUAUACUUGGGAGUCAGACUGUGGGUGAUAAGAUUCAUAGUCGAAAGGGCAACAGCCCAGAUCGUCAGCUAAGGUCCCUAAAUGUAAGUUAAGUGGUAAAGGAUGUGGGAUUGCACAGACAACCAGGAUGUUGGCUUAGAAGCAGCCACUCAUUCAAAGAGUGCGUAAUAGCUCACUGGUCGAGUGAUCCUGCGCCGAAGAUUUCCGGGGCUAAAACUUACUACCGAAGCUACGGCAUCAGUAAUGAUGGGUAGGGGAGCUUCCCAUACGGGUUGAAGCAUGACCGUAAGGACAUGUGGACAGUAUGGGAGUGAGAAUGUUGGCAUGAGUAGCGAGAUGUGGGUGAGAAUCCCACAGGCCGUAAACCCAAGGUUUCCAGGGGAAGGUUCGUCCGCCCUGGGUUAGUCGGGACCUAAGCUGAGGCCGAAAGGCGUAGGUGAUGGACAACAGGUUGAUAUUCCUGUACUACCGAUAACCGUUUGAGAGAAGGGAUGACACAGUAGGAUAAGCUAAGCACACUGUUGGUUAUGUGUGCCCAAGCAUUGAGGCAGUCAAAGUAGGCAAAUCCGCUUUGAUAAUGCUGGGAUGUGAUGGGGAGCGAAAUUUAGUAGCGAAGUAGCUGAUUUCACACUGUCAAGAAAAGUCUCUAUCGAGGUUAAAGGUACCCGUACCGCAAACCGACACAGGUGGGUGAGGAGAGUAUCCUAAGGCCAGCGAGAGAACUGUUGUUAAGGAACUCGGCAAAAUGACCCCGUAACUUAGGGAUAAGGGGUGCCACCAUCAGGUGGCCGCAGAGAAUAGGCCCAAGCGACUGUUUACCAAAAACAUAGGUUUCUGCUAAGUCGCAAGACGAUGUAUAGGAGCUGACGCCUGCCCGGUGCUGGAAGGUUAAGGGGAUCUGUUAGAGCAAUCGAAGCAGUGAACUUAAGCCCCAGUAAACGGCGGCCGUAACUAUAACGGUCCUAAGGUAGCGAAAUUCCUUGUCGGGUAAGUUCCGACCCGCACGAAAGGCGUAACGAUUUGGGCACUGUCUCAACAACAGACUCGGUGAAAUUGUAAUUCCGGUGAAGAUGCCGGAUACCUGCGACAGGACGGAAAGACCCCAUGGAGCUUUACUGUAGCUUGACAUUGGGUCUUGGUACUACAUGUACAGGAUAGGUGGGAGGCUUUGAAACCAGGACGCCAGUUUUGGCGGAGCCAUCCUUGGGAUACCACCCUUGUAGUACUGGGACUCUAACCAUAGGCCAUGAAUCUGGUCUUGGGACACUGUCA
Molecule: ribosomal RNA, 1748 nt
Filed under: Clostridioides difficile
Lineage: Bacteria; Bacillati; Bacillota; Clostridia; Peptostreptococcales; Peptostreptococcaceae
Description: bacterial LSU rRNA
Rfam family: Bacterial large subunit ribosomal RNA
Source: RNAcentral